GGACGGGUGAGUAACGCGUGGGUAACCUGCCUCAUAGAGGGGGACAACAGUUGGAAACGACUGCUAAUACCGCAUAGUAAGAAAGAUUCGCAUGUUUCUUUCUUGAAAGAUUUAUCGCUAUGAGAUGGACCCGCGUCUGAUUAGCUAGUUGGUAAGGUAACGGCUUACCAAGGCGACGAUCAGUAGCCGGCUUGAGAGAGUGAACGGCCACAUUGGGACUGAGACACGGCCCAAACUCC
This 239-nucleotide ribosomal RNA is filed under the name uncultured Eubacteriales bacterium. Its description in RNAcentral is "uncultured Clostridiales bacterium partial 16S ribosomal RNA". It matches the Rfam family "Bacterial small subunit ribosomal RNA", at positions 100 to 339 of the family's 1533-position model. Lineage: Bacteria; Bacillati; Bacillota; Clostridia; Eubacteriales. The record is from RNAcentral.